GGGAUUACAGGUGCAUGCCACCACACCUGGCUAAUUCUUUGUAUUUUUAGUAGAGACGGGGUUUUGCCGUGUUGGGCAGGCUGGUCUCGAACUCCUGACCUCAGGUGAUCCACACUCCUCGGCCUCCCAAAGUGCUGGGAUUACAGAGCUGUUCACUGAGUGUUACAGCAGCGAUGAAGACUUGGCAGAACAGCUGCUGAUCUAUUCCUGUGAAGCUUGGGGUGGAAGCAACUGUCUGGAGCUGGCGGUGGAGGCCACAGACCAGCAUUUCAUCGCCCAGCCUGGGGUCCAGAAUUUUCUUUCUAAGCAAUGGUAUGGAGAGAUUUCCCGAGACACCAAGAACUGGAAGAUUAUCCUGUGUCUGUUUAUUAUACCCUUGGUGGGCUGUGGCUUUGUAUCAUUUAGGAAGAAACCUGUCGACAAGCACAAGAAGCUGCUUUGGUACUAUGUGGCGUUCUUCACCUCCCCCUUCGUGGUCUUCUCCUGGAACGUGGUCUUCUACAUUGCCUUCCUCCUGCUGUUUGCCUACGUGCUGCUCAUGGAUUUCCAUUCGGUGCCACACCCCCCCGAGCUGGUCCUGUACUCGCUGGUCUUUGUCCUCUUCUGUGAUGAAGUGAGACAGGUAGGGCUGCCAUGACAGCAGGAACCCCCUCGCUUCCUCGGUGAGAGGCAUCUUUCCAAAGCCAAGAGGAAUAGAAGUUGCUUCUGAAGUUCAAAAGUCAUUAUUUUCCCAAA
This 735-nucleotide small RNA is filed under the name Pongo abelii (Sumatran orangutan). RNAcentral describes it as "retained intron". The record is from RNAcentral. Lineage: Eukaryota; Metazoa; Chordata; Mammalia; Primates; Hominidae.